Camelus ferus (Wild Bactrian camel) is the source of this 73-nucleotide transfer RNA. It matches the Rfam family "tRNA". From Rfam's summary of the family: Transfer RNA (tRNA) molecules are approximately 80 nucleotides in length. Their secondary structure includes four short double-helical elements and three loops (D, anti-codon, and T loops). NCBI's taxonomy places the organism in Eukaryota, Metazoa, Chordata, Mammalia, Artiodactyla, Camelidae. The record is from Rfam.
GGAGAUAUAGCUCGAGCGGCAGAGCACAUGCUUAGCAUGCAUGAGGUCCUGGGUUCAAUUCCCAGUACCUCCU